AUACGGAGGGUGCAAGCGUUAAUCGGAAUUACUGGGCGUAAAGCGUACGUAGGCGGUUCGUUAAGUUAGAUGUGAAAGCCCCGGGCUUAACCUGGGAACUGCAUUUAAAACUGGCGAACUAGAGUUGAGUAGAGGGGAGUGGAAUUUCAGGUGUAGCGGUGAAAUGCGUAGAGAUCUGAAGGAACACCAGUGGCGAAGGCGACUCCCUGGACUCGAACUGACGCUGAGGUACGAAAGCGUGGGUAGCAAACGGGAUUAGAAACCCUUGUAGUCC
Molecule: ribosomal RNA, 274 nt
Filed under: uncultured bacterium
Lineage: Bacteria
Description: partial 16S ribosomal RNA
Rfam family: Bacterial small subunit ribosomal RNA
Source: RNAcentral